This 198-nucleotide small nuclear RNA is filed under the name Tupaia belangeri (northern tree shrew). RNAcentral's name for it is "U2 spliceosomal RNA (ENSTBEG00000018981.1)". It matches the Rfam family "U2 spliceosomal RNA". Rfam says of the family: U2 is a small nuclear RNA (snRNA) component of the spliceosome (involved in pre-mRNA splicing). Complementary binding between U2 snRNA (in an area lying towards the 5' end but 3' to hairpin I) and the branchpoint sequence (BPS) of the intron results the bulging out of an unpaired adenosine, on the BPS, which initiates a nucleophilic attack at the intronic 5' splice site, thus starting the first of two transesterification reactions that mediate splicing. The record is from RNAcentral. Lineage: Eukaryota; Metazoa; Chordata; Mammalia; Scandentia; Tupaiidae.
AAUGUUUCUUGGCUUUUUAGCUAUAAUUAAGUGUAGUAUCAGUUCCUAUCAGUUUAAAGCCUGCUAUGUUGUCUUUCACUCAAAGACAAUAUACUAAGUGGAUUUUUGGAGCAGGGGGAUAGCAUAGAUGCUUCCUCCAUCCACUCACUCCACACAUCACCUUGGUAUUGUAGUACCUCCAGGAAUGGUGUGCUAAAA